AACGAACGCUGGCGGCAGGCCUAACACAUGCAAGUCGAACGCCGUAGCAAUACGGAGUGGCAGACGGGUGAGUAACACGUGGGAACGUACCCUUCGGUUCGGGAUAACUCAGGGAAACUUGAGCUAAUACCGGAUACGUCCGAGAGGAGAAAGAUUUAUCGCCGAGGGAUCGGCCCGCGUCUGAUUAGCUUGUUGGUGAGGUAACGGCUCACCAAGGCGACGAUCAGUAGCUGGUCNGAGAGGAUGAUCAGCCACAUUGGGACUGAGACACGGCCCAAACUCCUACGGGAGGCAGCAGUGGGGAAUAUUGGACAAUGGGCGCAAGCCUGAUCCAGCCAUGCCGCGUGAGUGAUGAAGGCCCUAGGGUUGUAAAGCUCUUUUACCCGGGAAGAUAAUGACUGUACCGGGAGAAUAAGCCCCGGCUAA
RNAcentral lists this ribosomal RNA (426 nucleotides) under uncultured bacterium. RNAcentral describes it as "bacterial SSU rRNA". It matches the Rfam family "Bacterial small subunit ribosomal RNA", at positions 29 to 500 of the family's 1533-position model. The record is from RNAcentral.